UGAGGAAUAUUGGUCAAUGGGCGAGAGCCUGAACCAGCCAAGUAGCGUGCAGGAUGACGGCCCUAUGGGUUGUAAACUGCUUUUAUGUGGGGAUAAAGUGCGUGACGUGUCAUGCAUUGCCGGUACCACAUGAAUAAGGACCGGCUAAUUCUGUGCCAGCAGCCGCGGUAAUACGGAAGGUCCGGGCGUUAUCCGGAUUUAUUGGGUUUAAAGGGAGCGUAGGCUGUCUAUUAAGCGUGUUGUGAAAUUUACCGGCUCAACCGGUGGCUUGCAGCGCGAACGGGUCGACUUGAGUAUGCAGGAAGGAGGCGGAAUUCAUGGUGUAGCGGUGAAAUGCUUAGAUAUCAUGACGAACUCCGAUUGCGCAGGCAGCUUACUGUAGCAUAACUGACGCUGAUGCUCGAAAGUGCGGGUAUCAAACAGG
This 424-nucleotide ribosomal RNA is filed under the name Fusobacteriota bacterium. Its description in RNAcentral is "Fusobacteria bacterium partial 16S ribosomal RNA". It matches the Rfam family "Bacterial small subunit ribosomal RNA", at positions 355 to 776 of the family's 1533-position model. The record is from RNAcentral. Lineage: Bacteria; Fusobacteriati; Fusobacteriota.